AGCGCACGCGCCCGACUGAGGAGGUUGCCGCGUGGGCCGGGCAUUCGUUGGGAUAACGGUCCCACCUGCCGCCCAGCAGGAGGGAGCCUGAGGGGAACAUGGACAAAAGAUACCUAACCCAGAUGGAUGAGCAGAGCACCUUGCCCAAAACAAAACUGGUGUCUCGUCUCCAGUUGGGACCAGAGAAUAGAGAAAUACCACAUAUGGUUGAAGGAAGGUAUAUUAUGCAUGAACAAGCUGUCAACGUUGAGGAAAACAGCAGUUCACUGCCCUCUUCAGUAGAGAAGUAUCCUACUGCACUCCGUACAGCAGUUUACAGAACAGGCACAGAAAGGAAACACAAAACAACAGUAA
Long non-coding RNA from Emys orbicularis (European pond turtle), 354 nucleotides. RefSeq lists it as uncharacterized. The record is from RefSeq and is a predicted model, not a curated record. The transcript is spliced from 3 exons. Lineage: Eukaryota; Metazoa; Chordata; Testudines; Emydidae.